RNAcentral lists this transfer RNA (64 nucleotides) under Sclomina erinacea. RNAcentral's name for it is "tRNA-Ile". The record is from RNAcentral. Lineage: Eukaryota; Metazoa; Arthropoda; Insecta; Hemiptera; Reduviidae.
AAUAAGGUGCCUGAUAAAAAGGAUUAUUUUGAUAGAAUAAAACAUGUAUAAUUUACCCUUAUUA